UACAGAGGUCCCGAGCGUUGUUCGGAUUCAUUGGGCGUAAAGGGUGUGUAGGUGGCGCUGUAAGUGGGGUGUGAAAUCCCGGGGCUUAACCCCGGGACUGCAUUCCAUACUGCGGUGCUUGAGGACUGGAGAGGAGACUGGAAUUUACGGUGUAGCAGUGAAAUGCGUAGAGAUCGUAAGGAAGACCAGUGGCGAAGGCGGGUCUCUGGACAGUUCCUGACACUGAGGCACGAAGGCCAGGGGAGCAAACGGG
Molecule: ribosomal RNA, 253 nt
Filed under: uncultured bacterium
Lineage: Bacteria
Description: partial 16S ribosomal RNA
Rfam family: Bacterial small subunit ribosomal RNA
Source: RNAcentral